Molecule: transfer RNA, 68 nt
Filed under: Camelus bactrianus (Bactrian camel)
Lineage: Eukaryota; Metazoa; Chordata; Mammalia; Artiodactyla; Camelidae
Also listed under: 2 other names
Rfam family: tRNA
About the family: Transfer RNA (tRNA) molecules are approximately 80 nucleotides in length. Their secondary structure includes four short double-helical elements and three loops (D, anti-codon, and T loops).
Source: Rfam by way of RNAcentral
GAGGGUAUAGCCCAGUGGUAGAGUGCAUGCAUAGCACAGGGUCCUGGGUUCAAUCCCUAGUACCUCCA